UGAUCUGCGAGGGCGAUCUGGCUGGCUAGGUGGGUGUCCCCUUCCUCGCUCUCUGCUCCAUGUGUGUCCCUCCCAAAGCUGUGUGCUUAGUCGAAGAGGACAGUUUUCCCGGAAUAGACGGCACUUUUUAUUUGAGA
RNAcentral lists this small nuclear RNA (137 nucleotides) under Erinaceus europaeus (western European hedgehog). RNAcentral describes it as "7SK RNA". It matches the Rfam family "7SK RNA", at positions 41 to 187 of the family's 331-position model. Rfam says of the family: 7SK was discovered as an abundant small nuclear RNA in the mid-70s but a possible function has only recently been suggested. Two independent studies have found that 7SK RNA binds the CDK9/cyclin T complex (known as elongation factor P-TEFb). P-TEFb activates transcription by phosphorylating the C-terminal domain of RNA polymerase II. Lineage: Eukaryota; Metazoa; Chordata; Mammalia; Eulipotyphla; Erinaceidae. The record is from Rfam by way of RNAcentral.